This 253-nucleotide ribosomal RNA is filed under the name uncultured bacterium. Its description in RNAcentral is "partial 16S ribosomal RNA". It matches the Rfam family "Bacterial small subunit ribosomal RNA", at positions 524 to 776 of the family's 1533-position model. The record is from RNAcentral.
UACAUACUGUGCGAACGUUAUUCGGAAUCACUGGGCUUAAAGGGUGCGUAGGCGGCGAUUCAAGUCAGAUGUGAAAUGCCUGAGCUCAACUGAGGCAUUGCGUUUGAAACUGGAUUGCUGGAGUGUCCCAGGGGUGUGCGGAACUGCCAGUGGAGCGGUGAAAUGUGUUGAUAUUGGCAGGAACACCGGAGGCGAAAGCGGCACACUGGGGGAUAACUGACGCUGAGGCACGAAAGCCAGGGGAGCGAACGGG